RNAcentral lists this ribosomal RNA (41 nucleotides) under Rhizopogon mohelnensis. RNAcentral describes it as "partial 28S ribosomal RNA". Lineage: Eukaryota; Fungi; Basidiomycota; Agaricomycetes; Boletales; Rhizopogonaceae. The record is from RNAcentral. RNAcentral also lists the same sequence under 1 other name.
UUUUGACCUCAAAUCAGGUAGGACUACCCGCUGAACUUAAG